This 294-nucleotide non-coding RNA is filed under the name Aotus nancymaae (Ma's night monkey). The record is from RNAcentral. Lineage: Eukaryota; Metazoa; Chordata; Mammalia; Primates; Aotidae.
GUAGGGCAUGGUGGCACACCUCUAGUCCCAGCCACUUGGGAGGCUAAGGUGGGAGGAUCGCAUGAGCCCUGGAGUUCUGGGCUAUAGAAAGUCACGCUGAUCAGGUGUCCAAACUAAGUUCGGCAUCAAUAUGGUGACCUUCUGGGAUCAGGGGACCACCAGGUUGCCUAUGGAGGGGUGAACAGAUCUGCCCAGGACAGAAAUGGAGCAGAUUAAAUAAGCCAUUUUGGUAGAAGCACAAGUGAUUUCUGGUUACUAGGCACUAACUAGGAGGGCAGAAAAGCUGUCCAGUCA